RNAcentral lists this transfer RNA (65 nucleotides) under Dipodomys ordii (Ord's kangaroo rat). It matches the Rfam family "tRNA". From Rfam's summary of the family: Transfer RNA (tRNA) molecules are approximately 80 nucleotides in length. The record is from Rfam by way of RNAcentral. Lineage: Eukaryota; Metazoa; Chordata; Mammalia; Rodentia; Heteromyidae.
GGUGGCUCAGAGGUAGAGCACUUGCCUUGCAUGCAUGAGGCCCUGGGUUCGAUUCCUCAGUACCA